This 74-nucleotide transfer RNA is filed under the name Dictyobacter formicarum. Its description in RNAcentral is "tRNA-His". It matches the Rfam family "tRNA". Rfam says of the family: Transfer RNA (tRNA) molecules are approximately 80 nucleotides in length. Their secondary structure includes four short double-helical elements and three loops (D, anti-codon, and T loops). Lineage: Bacteria; Bacillati; Chloroflexota; Ktedonobacteria; Ktedonobacterales; Dictyobacteraceae. The record is from RNAcentral.
GUGGUCAUAGUGUAGUGGUUAGCACCGGAGGCCGUGACCCUCCUGGCAUCAGUUCAAAUCUGAUUGAUCACCCC